AGGCAUGCAAGUCGCGCGAGAAGUUCCCUUCGGGGGAUGGAAAGCGGCGAAAGGGAGAGUAAUACGUAGAAAUCUGCCCCCGGGACCGGGAUAGCGGCGGGAAACUGCCGGUAAUACCGGAUAACGUCUUUGGACCAAAGGUGUGAUUCCGCCUGGGGAUGAGUCUACGUCCUAUUAGCUAGUUGGUGGGGUAAUGGCCUACCAAGGCGAUGAUGGGUAGCGGGUGUGAGAGCAUGACCCGCCUCACUGGGACUGAGACACUGCCCAGACACCUACGGGUGGCUGCAGUCGAGAAUCUUCGGCAAUGGGCGAAAGCCUGACCGAGCGACGCCGCGUGCGGGAUGAAGGCCUUCGGGUUGUAAACCGCUGUCGUAGGGGAGCAAAUGCAUUGGGGUUCUCCCCUUUGCUUGAGCGAUCUUAGGAGGAAGGACGGGCGUAGAUUCGUGC
RNAcentral lists this ribosomal RNA (447 nucleotides) under uncultured Pirellula sp. RNAcentral's name for it is "bacterial SSU rRNA". It matches the Rfam family "Bacterial small subunit ribosomal RNA", at positions 51 to 508 of the family's 1533-position model. Lineage: Bacteria; Pseudomonadati; Planctomycetota; Planctomycetia; Pirellulales; Pirellulaceae. The record is from RNAcentral.